CGGGACGGGUGAGUAACGCGUGGGUAACCUGCCUUAUACAGGGGGAUAACAGUUAGAAAUGACUGCUAAUACCGCAUAAGCGCACAGUACUGCAUGGUACAGUGUGAAAAACUCCGGUGGUAUAAGAUGGACCCGCGUCUGAUUAGCCAGUUGGCGGGGUAACGGCCCACCAAAGCGACGAUCAGUAGCCGGACUGAGAGGUUGAACGGCCACAUUGGGACUGAGACACGGCCCAGACUCCUACGGAAGGCAGCAG
RNAcentral lists this ribosomal RNA (256 nucleotides) under uncultured bacterium. RNAcentral's name for it is "partial 16S ribosomal RNA". It matches the Rfam family "Bacterial small subunit ribosomal RNA", at positions 98 to 354 of the family's 1533-position model. The record is from RNAcentral.